UUUGGUUUUUAUAAAAAGUAGCUUCACUGGUUCUUACUUCAAACAGUUGUGAAUAAAACUUGAAACCGUGAAGUGCCAGAAGAAAACGAAAAAACGAACGAGCGAUCAAUCGCGACAGUCAGUUAAAGCGCGGCGCAGUGGAAAAAAAUUCAUUGAGAUUUAAAUGGUGUGACUAAAUACAAAAAAAAAAAAAAAACAAAUAAAUAUUGCACACAGAGAAAAUAGCAGUGAAGAGUAUUUACAUUCAGUGCCAUCCACAAACAAAGCAGAUAGAAUAAAGAAAAAAAAAGAAGAACGAAAUUUUCAUCUCAAAAAAACAACAACCAAAUCACAAAACAAUAAUAACAGCAGGAUACACAAACAAUUGUGAUAGUUAAACAACAACAAAAACUCACAGGGUCGGAACAAAAUUUUAAAAAACACCAAUAACUAUACUGAAAUAACAAAAAAUAUGUCUCAAAUAAGCCAUAAACAUUGUGGCUGCAGUUCCUACUCUUCUUCGUGGAGUAGUACGUGUAACUUUGCAAGAACUUUGUUGCGUUUCUUUGCGGUGGAACGACAGCAUAUAGUAUGGCUUGUUGUAUGCGCCAGUCUGCUGCAACAAGUUCUAGCUGCUCAGGCCUUUGGGAUAAACGAUGAACGUUUCGUCUACAGUAAAUCUAAAGCGGAUGCAAAUAGUGCUGAUGCCACGGCUGCAGAUACAGAUACCAACGUUAAACUACUUGGGGAAAACGAAACAGAUCCGUUUCCAAUGGACUUUUAUCGGGAGUUGAAUAAUAUAACAGAUAUUUCUGAAUUCAUAGAGAAAUUUGUUGAUCCCGACAGUAUUGAUCCCAAACUGGGUAUACAUGCAGAGAACCUUCGCAGAAAUGUUGAAAGAGCCUCUGUGGUUAGAGCUAAAGCAGCCAGAUGCAGUCCCGAACCCACAGUGGUAGAUCUGAUACCUCUCAGUACAAUGUACAGCUACUUCCCCAAAUGUACACGUGUUAAACGUUGCAGCGGAUGCUGCAACACACCUCUGUUGUCCUGUCAACCUACUAAAACAGAAAUUGUCAACUACCAAGUCACUCGGUAUAGCCCCACUGCACAUGGAAUUAAAAGCAACGGUUUUGAUGUGAUUCCUGUGGAGCAACAUUUGGAAUGUAAAUGUGAUUGUCGCGUCAAGGCAAAGGACUGUAAUGCCUUUCAAAUUUAUGAAGACUGUCAGUGCCAUUGCCCAAAUACAGAUGCUCAAGAUAAGUGUCAUGAAUUGGAGCACAAAGAAUGGGAUGGUAAUUCGUGCCGUUGUGUCUGCCGGCACAGAGAAACAUGUACCACUGGCACCUACUAUGAUGAGAAUCAAUGCAAAUGUCUACUGACCCACUCUUUAGACUAUGUUGACGAUGAAAGUCAACUGAAUUAAUUACAAAACUACAACAAGACACAUGUCACAUGACACAAAAAAAAACGACACCAAAGUCAUUUCAAACACCCCACCGACCACCGCAUACAACUAGUUUUACACUUACACACACAAUUUGUAAUCUUCAUUGUAAGACUCAAUCAAUCAGUGUUGUGUUUUGUGUGUGUGUGUAUGUGUGUCUAUCGUCCUUGCCUUUUUUGAAUGAAAACAAAACAAAACAAAACAUUUUUAAGCCAUCAUCGUCGUUAAUGUAUAAAUCGCCACUGUCGUUGUCUCUAUCGUCGUUGUCAGCCAAAACUUUGUGAUUUGCAUUCAAAAUGCUUUAAAAUUACCAUUUUGAAAUUAAAAACCAAAUCGUAAGGAAUUCCAAUAACCACUUGUUUAAGAGACUAUGUGAUGAGUAUUAUUGUUUGUUUGUUGGGUUUAACAUGCGUAAUAAAUUUUCCAAAAAAAAAAUAUAA
RNA transcript from Stomoxys calcitrans (stable fly), 1863 nucleotides. RefSeq lists it as uncharacterized. The transcript is spliced from 8 exons. NCBI's taxonomy places the organism in Eukaryota, Metazoa, Arthropoda, Insecta, Diptera, Muscidae. The record is from RefSeq and is a predicted model, not a curated record.